GACGAACGCUGGCGGCGUGCUUAACACAUGCGAGUCGAACGGUGAAGCGCCUUCCUUUUUGGUGGGUGUGGAUGAGUGGCGAACGGGUGAGUAACACGUGAGUAACCUGCCCCCUUCUUCUGGAUAACCGCAUGAAAGUGUGGCUAAUACGGGAUAUUCUGGGUCUGUCGCAUGAUGGGUCUGGGAAAGAUAUUGUUUCGGUGGGGGAUGGGCUCGCGGCCUAUCAGCUUGUUGGUGGGGUGAUGGCCUACCAAGGCGGUGACGGGUAGCCGGCCUGAGAGGGUGGACGGUCCCACUGGGACUGAGACACGGCCCAGACUCCUACGGGAGGCAGCAGUGGGGAAUAUUGCACAAUGGGCGCAAGCCUGAUGCAGCGACGCCGCGUGAGGGAUGGAGGCCUUCGGGUUGUGAACCUCUUUCGCCAGUGAAGCAGGCCUGCCUCGUUUGUGGGUGGGUUGACGGUAGCUGGAUAAGAAGCGCCGGCUAACUACGUG
RNAcentral lists this ribosomal RNA (494 nucleotides) under uncultured bacterium. RNAcentral's name for it is "partial 16S ribosomal RNA". It matches the Rfam family "Bacterial small subunit ribosomal RNA", at positions 28 to 507 of the family's 1533-position model. The record is from RNAcentral.